This 69-nucleotide antisense RNA is filed under the name Lentzea waywayandensis. RNAcentral's name for it is "ASpks TB sRNA". It matches the Rfam family "ASpks TB sRNA". Lineage: Bacteria; Bacillati; Actinomycetota; Actinomycetes; Pseudonocardiales; Pseudonocardiaceae. The record is from RNAcentral.
CUUCAGCGACCCCAGCCACAACGGGGUCUCCCGGUCCUGACCGUAGGUGGCCAGCAGUGCCCGCGCCUC